Molecule: ribosomal RNA, 292 nt
Filed under: uncultured bacterium
Lineage: Bacteria
Description: partial 16S ribosomal RNA
Rfam family: Bacterial small subunit ribosomal RNA
Source: RNAcentral
GUGCCAGCAGCCGCGGUAAUACGGAGGAUCCAAGCGUUAUCCGGAUUUAUUGGGUUUAAAGGGUGCGUAGGCGGCCUAUUAAGUCAGGGGUGAAAGACGGUGGCUCAACCAUCGCAGUGCCUUUGAUACUGAUAGGCUUGAUUACACUUGAGGUAGGCGGAAUGUGACAAGUAGCGGUGAAAUGCAUAGAUAUGUCACAGAACACCAAUUGCGAAGGCAGCUUACUAAGGUGUUAAUGACGCUGAGGCACGAAAGCGUGGGGAUCAAACAGGAUUAGAUACCCCUGUAGUCC